AGUGAACGCUGGCGGUAGGCCUAACACAUGCAAGUCGAACGGCAGCACAGUAAGAGCUUGCUCUUACGGGUGGCGAGUGGCGGACGGGUGAGGAAUACAUCGGAAUCUACUUUUUCGUGGGGGAUAACGUAGGGAAACUUACGCUAAUACCGCAUACGACCUACGGGUGAAAGCAGGGGAUCUUCGGACCUUGCGCGAUUGAAUGAGCCGAUGUCGGGUUAGCUAGUUGGCGGGGUAAAGGCCCACCAAGGCGACGAUCCGUAGCCGGUCUGAGAGGAUGAUCAGCCACACUAGAACUGAGACACGGUCCAGACUCCUACGGGAGGCAGCAGUGGGGAAUCUUGGACAAUGGGCGCAAGCCUGAUCCAGCCAUACCGCGUGAGUGAAGAAGGCCUUCGGGUUGUAAAGCCCUUUUGUUGGGAAAGAAAAGCAGCAGGUUAAUACCCCGCUGUUCUGACGGUACCCAAAGAAUAAGCACCGGCUAACUUCGUG
This 492-nucleotide ribosomal RNA is filed under the name uncultured bacterium. RNAcentral's name for it is "partial 16S ribosomal RNA". It matches the Rfam family "Bacterial small subunit ribosomal RNA", at positions 29 to 507 of the family's 1533-position model. The record is from RNAcentral.